CCUAUACAAUUCAAAAUGGCCGUCUAUAUGUGUGUACACUCGGUUUUUUUAUCGGUUACGCAUAGAUGGUAUGUUAUGAGAAAUGUUGGUAAUAACAAAUAACGUUUUCCGAAUUCGAAAGAAUUGCUGAAUAAUCUACUGAAAAAUGAGCGUAACUCUACACACGGAUGUCGGUGACAUAAAGGUAGAAUUGUUUUGUGAGCUAUGUCCAAAAACAAGUGAGAAUUUCCUCGCUUUGUGUGCUAGCGAUUAUUAUAAUAAUUGUUUAUUUCAUCGCAAUAUAAAAGGAUUUAUUGUACAAACUGGAGAUCCAACACAAACCGGUAAAGGUGGAACUUCGAUAUGGAAUCGUAAAUUUGAAGACGAGUUCAAGGAAGAAUUGAAACACAAUGCCAGAGGUCUUGUGUCUAUGGCAAAUAAUGGUCCAAAUACAAAUGGAAGUCAAUUUUUCAUUACAUAUGGGCCACAACCACAUUUAGACCUAAAGUACACUUUAUUUGGAAAAGUAAUAGAUGGAAUGGAAACAUUAGAGCAAUUGGAAAAAUUGCCUGUGAACCCAAAGAAUUAUAAACCCCUUACAGAAACCCGAAUAACCAGUGUCACUGUUCAUGCUAAUCCUUUGGCAUGUUAGCUGUACAUUAAUUAUAAGAAACUCGUCUGUAAUAUUCUCUCCGUUUGGGUGCUUAACAAAUCUGUAUAGAAAAAGAACGAAAGAACAAUAGCCAACGAGAACGUCGUUCCUAUAAAUAGGUUCUAAACCCCAUAAUGGGACACUGCUAAUAUAACAAAGAUUAAGACAGUUGCAUUUAUCAUAUAUAAAUAAUACGUUCGAACGAACAAUGCCUGAUCACUAUUCUGUUGCAAUGGGCAUACCUGUCUACAUGGAAAUGCAUCAGUUUCUUUUUAAUUCCAUUUUGCCGCAACUGAUCGAUUACUGAUUUCCCUCGAUAGUGACCGUAAUUGCGACAAACAAAUCCUAAUCCAGCUUCGAUGGGGUUAUCGUCUGUUCGAAGAUCCGAGCCCCAAAGAUGAUAACCUACAAAAUACAUGUAAGAGAAUUUAGAACAGUAUGUGGGAUUUGUAUAGUUCACCUAAUCUCCUUUUGGAAAUGUUCUUAUUAAGUACCUUUUUCGCAACUCAGACUGUACAGUGCUCUGAAUCCUGCAAGUUUCAUAUGAAAUUUUUCUCUGUAUUGCAUUAAUGCUGUAUAAAUUGAUUGGCACGACGA
RNA transcript from Megalopta genalis, 1228 nucleotides. It is a transcript of the gene named peptidyl-prolyl cis-trans isomerase-like 3, with no coding region annotated. Lineage: Eukaryota; Metazoa; Arthropoda; Insecta; Hymenoptera; Halictidae. The record is from RefSeq and is a predicted model, not a curated record.